AGGAGAGUUUGAUCCUGGCUCAGGAUGAACGCUAGCUACAGGCUUAACACAUGCAAGUCGAGGGGCAUCAGGUAUCUAGCUUGCUGGAUAUGCUGGCGACCGGCGCACGGGUGAGUAACGCGUAUCCAACCUUCCCCUUAGUAGGGCAUAGCCCGGCGAAAGUCGGAUUAAUACCCUAUGUUCUUCGUUGACGGCAUCUGAAAUGGAGCAAAGGUUUACCGCUAAGGGAUGGGGAUGCGUCUGAUUAGGUAGUCGGCGGGGUAACGGCCCACCGAGCCUUCGAUCAGUAGGGGUUCUGAGAGGAAGGUCCCCCACAUUGGAACUGAGACACGGUCCAAACUCCUACGGGAGGCAGCAGUGAGGAAUAUUGGUCAAUGGACGGGAGUCUGAACCAGCCAAGUAGCGUGCAGGAUGACGGCCCUAUGGGUUGUAAACUGCUUUUAUGCGGGGAUAACGUGAGGGACGCGUCCCUUAUUGCAGGUACCGCAUGAAUAAGGACCGGCUAAUUCCGUGCCAGCAGCCGCGGUAAUACGGAAGGUCCGGGCGUUAUCCGGAUUUAUUGGGUUUAAAGGGAGCGCAGGCGGGAGCUUAAGCGUGACGUGAAAUGUAGCCGCUCAACGGCUGAGUUGCGUCGCGAACUGGGUUUCUUGAGUUGGUACGACGUCAGCGGAAUUCGUGGUGUAGCGGUGAAAUGCUUAGAUAUCACGAAGAACCCCGAUUGCGAAGGCAGCUGACGAGUCCCUUACUGACGCUAAAGCUCGAAGGUGCGGGUAUCGAACAGGAUUAGAUACCCUGGUAGUCCCCU
This 805-nucleotide ribosomal RNA is filed under the name uncultured Bacteroidota bacterium. Its description in RNAcentral is "bacterial SSU rRNA". It matches the Rfam family "Bacterial small subunit ribosomal RNA", at positions 1 to 799 of the family's 1533-position model. Lineage: Bacteria; Pseudomonadati; Bacteroidota. The record is from RNAcentral.